Molecule: ribosomal RNA, 1096 nt
Filed under: Mycolicibacterium moriokaense
Lineage: Bacteria; Bacillati; Actinomycetota; Actinomycetes; Mycobacteriales; Mycobacteriaceae
Description: bacterial SSU rRNA
Rfam family: Bacterial small subunit ribosomal RNA
Source: RNAcentral
ACGGAAAGGCCCUUUCGGGGGUACUCGAGUGGCGAACGGGUGAGUAACACGUGGGUGAUCUGCCCUGCACUUUGGGAUAAGCCUGGGAAACUGGGUCUAAUACCGAAUACACCCUGCUGGUCGCAUGGCCUGGUGGGGGAAAGCUUUUGCGGUGUGGGAUGGGCCCGCGGCCUAUCAGCUUGUUGGUGAGGUUAUGGCUUACCAAGGCGACGACGGGUAGCCGGCCUGAGAGGGUGACCGGCCACACUGGGACUGAGAUACGGCCCAGACUCCUACGGGAGGCAGCAGUGGGGAAUAUUGCACAAUGGGCGCAAGCCUGAUGCAGCGACGCCGCGUGGGGGAUGACGGCCUUCGGGUUGUAAACCUCUUUCAGUGCCGACGAAGCGUAAGUGACGGUAGGCACAGAAGAAGGACCGGCCAACUACGUGCCAGCAGCCGCGGUAAUACGUAGGGUCCGAGCGUUGUCCGGAAUUACUGGGCGUAAAGAGCUCGUAGGUGGUUUGUCGCGUUGUCCGUGAAAACUCACAGCUUAACUGUGGGCGUGCGGGCGAUACGGGCAGACUUGAGUACUGCAGGGGAGACUGGAAUUCCUGGUGUAGCGGUGGAAUGCGCAGAUAUCAGGAGGAACACCGGUGGCGAAGGCGGGUCUCUGGGCAGUAACUGACGCUGAGGAGCGAAAGCGUGGGGAGCGAACAGGAUUAGAUACCCUGGUAGUCCACGCCGUAAACGGUGGGUACUAGGUGUGGGUUUCCUUCCUUGGGAUCCGUGCCGUAGCUAACGCAUUAAGUACCCCGCCUGGGGAGUACGGCCGCAAGGCUAAACUCAAAGAAAUUGACGGGGGCCCGCACAAGCGGCGGAGCAUGUGGAUUAAUUCGAUGCAACGCGAAGAACCUUACCUGGGUUUGACAUGCACAGGACGCUGGCAGAGAUGUCGGUUCCCUUGUGGCCUGUGUGCAAGGUGGUGCAUGGCUGUCGUCAGCUCGUGUCGUGAGAUGUUGGGUUAAGUCCCGCAACGAGCGCAACCCUUUUCUUCAUGUUGCCAGCGCGUAAUGCCGGGGACUCGUGAGAGACUGCGGGUCAACUCGAGGAAGGUGGG